Molecule: ribosomal RNA, 253 nt
Filed under: uncultured bacterium
Lineage: Bacteria
Description: partial 16S ribosomal RNA
Rfam family: Bacterial small subunit ribosomal RNA
Source: RNAcentral
UACGAAGGGGGCUAGCGUUGUUCGGAAUCACUGGGCGUAAAGGGCGCGUAGGCGGCCUGGCAAGUCGGGGGUGAAAGCCUGUGGCUCAACCACAGAAUGGCCUUCGAUACUGUCGGGCUCGAGACCGGAAGAGGUCAGUGGAACUGCGAGUGUAGAGGUGAAAUUCGUAGAUAUUCGCAAGAACACCAGUGGCGAAGGCGGCUGACUGGUCCGGUUCUGACGCUGAGGCGCGAAAGCGUGGGGAGCAAACAGG